GUGGCUCAUUCACCGACUUAUGUCAGCCCCUUCGGGACGUGCUACAUAAAAUACGAAUGACGCACAACAAGGUGCCUGCCGUCCAACUUCUGAUAUCAGCGUAGCUAUAUCAACCAUCGGGCGAAACGUCGAGUUAGGCACCGCCUUAUUCCAUAACAAAGCCGGGUAAUUCCCGGCUUUGUUGU
RNAcentral lists this small RNA (185 nucleotides) under Escherichia coli. Its description in RNAcentral is "GlmZ RNA activator of glmS mRNA". The stretch from base 1 to 147 matches the Rfam family "Glm Y RNA activator of glmS mRNA". Rfam says of the family: This family consists of a number of bacterial RNA genes of around 167 bases in length. The function of this RNA is unknown. The record is from RNAcentral. Lineage: Bacteria; Pseudomonadati; Pseudomonadota; Gammaproteobacteria; Enterobacterales; Enterobacteriaceae.